AUUGAACGCUGGCGGCAGGCCUAACACAUGCAAGUCGAGCGGAUGAAGGGAGCUUGCUCCUGGAUUCAGCGGCGGACGGGUGAGUAAUGCCUAGGAAUCUGCCUGGUAGUGGGGGAUAACGUCCGGAAACGGGCGCUAAUACCGCAUACGUCCUGUGGGAGAAAGUGGGGGAUCUUCGGACCUCACGCUAUCAGAUGAGCCUAGGUCGGAUUAGCUAGUUGGUGGGGUAAAGGCCUACCAAGGCGACGAUCCGUAACUGGUCUGAGAGGAUGAUCAGUCACACUGGAACUGAGACACGGUCCAGACUCCUACGGGAGGCAGCAGUGGGGAAUAUUGGACAAUGGGCGAAAGCCUGAUCCAGCCAUGCCGCGUGUGUGAAGAAGGUCCUCGGAUUGUAAAGCACUUUAAGUUGGGAGGAAGGGCAGUAAGUUAAUACCUUGCUGUUUUGACGUUACCAACAGAAUAAGCACCGGCUAACUUCGUG
This 484-nucleotide ribosomal RNA is filed under the name uncultured bacterium. RNAcentral's name for it is "partial 16S ribosomal RNA". It matches the Rfam family "Bacterial small subunit ribosomal RNA", at positions 30 to 507 of the family's 1533-position model. The record is from RNAcentral.